UACGUAGGGGGCAAGCGUUGUCCGGAAUCAUUGGGCGUAAAGAGCGUGUAGGCGGCCCGGUAAGUCCGCUGUGAAAGUCCAGGGCUCAACCCUGGGAUGCCGGUGGAUACUGUCGGGCUCGAGUCCGGAAGAGGAGUGUGGAAUUCCUGGUGUAGCGGUGAAAUGCGCAGAUAUCAGGAAGAACACCCGUGGCGAAGGCGGUUCUCUGGGACGGUACUGACGCUGAGACGCGAAAGCGUGGGGAGCGAACAGG
RNAcentral lists this ribosomal RNA (253 nucleotides) under uncultured bacterium. RNAcentral describes it as "partial 16S ribosomal RNA". It matches the Rfam family "Bacterial small subunit ribosomal RNA", at positions 524 to 776 of the family's 1533-position model. The record is from RNAcentral.